This 20-nucleotide microRNA is filed under the name Bos taurus (domestic cattle). RNAcentral describes it as "bta-miR-2284e". Lineage: Eukaryota; Metazoa; Chordata; Mammalia; Artiodactyla; Bovidae. The record is from miRBase by way of RNAcentral.
AAGUUCGUUCGGAUUUUUCC